This 506-nucleotide ribosomal RNA is filed under the name uncultured bacterium. RNAcentral's name for it is "partial 16S ribosomal RNA". It matches the Rfam family "Bacterial small subunit ribosomal RNA", at positions 29 to 523 of the family's 1533-position model. The record is from RNAcentral.
AGUGAACGCUGGCGGUAGGCCUAACACAUGCAAGUCGAACGGCAGCACAGGAGAGCUUGCUCUCUGGGUGGCGAGUGGCGGACGGGUGAGGAAUACAUCGGAAUCUACUCUGUCGUGGGGGAUAACGUAGGGAAACUUACGCUAAUACCGCAUACGACCUACGGGUGAAAGCAGGGGAUCUUCGGACCUUGCGCGAUUGAAUGAGCCGAUGUCGGAUUAGCUAGUUGGCGGGGUAAAGGCCCACCAAGGCGACGAUCCGUAGCUGGUCUGAGAGGAGGAUCAGCCACACUGGAACUGAGACGCGGUCCAGACUCCUACGGGAGGCAGCAGUGGGGAAUAUUGGACAAUGGGCGCAAGCCUGAUCCGGCCAUACCGCGUGGGUGAAGAAGGCCUUCGGGUUGUAAAGCCCUUUUGUUGGGAAAGAAAUCCAGCUGGCUAAUACCCGGUUGGGAUGACGGUACCCAAAGAAGAAGCACCGGCUAACUUCGUGCCAGCAGCCGCCGUAA